Molecule: ribosomal RNA, 875 nt
Filed under: Enterococcus faecium
Lineage: Bacteria; Bacillati; Bacillota; Bacilli; Lactobacillales; Enterococcaceae
Description: bacterial SSU rRNA
Rfam family: Bacterial small subunit ribosomal RNA
Source: RNAcentral
GACGAACGCUGGCGGCGUGCCUAAUACAUGCAAGUCGUACGCUUCUUUUUCCACCGGAGCUUGCUCCACCGGAAAAAGAGGAGUGGCGAACGGGUGAGUAACACGUGGGUAACCUGCCCAUCAGAAGGGGAUAACACUUGGAAACAGGUGCUAAUACCGUAUAACAAUCGAAACCGCAUGGUUUUGAUUUGAAAGGCGCUUUCGGGUGUCGCUGAUGGAUGGACCCGCGGUGCAUUAGCUAGUUGGUGAGGUAACGGCUCACCAAGGCCACGAUGCAUAGCCGACCUGAGAGGGUGAUCGGCCACAUUGGGACUGAGACACGGCCCAAACUCCUACGGGAGGCAGCAGUAGGGAAUCUUCGGCAAUGGACGAAAGUCUGACCGAGCAACGCCGCGUGAGUGAAGAAGGUUUUCGGAUCGUAAAACUCUGUUGUUAGAGAAGAAUAAGGAUGAGAGUAACUGUUCAUCCCUUGACGGUAUCUAACCAGAAAGCCACGGCUAACUACGUGCCAGCAGCCGCGGUAAUACGUAGGUGGCAAGCGUUGUCCGGAUUUAUUGGGCGUAAAGCGAGCGCAGGCGGUUUCUUAAGUCUGAUGUGAAAGCCCCCGGCUCAACCGGGGAGGGUCAUUGGAAACUGGGAGACUUGAGUGCAGAAGAGGAGAGUGGAAUUCCAUGUGUAGCGGUGAAAUGCGUAGAUAUAUGGAGGAACACCAGUGGCGAAGGCGGCUCUCUGGUCUGUAACUGACGCUGAGGCUCGAAAGCGUGGGGAGCAAACAGGAUUAGAUACCCUGGUAGUCCACGCCGUAAACGAUGAGUGCUAAGUGUUGGAGGGUUUCCGCCCUUCAGUGCUGCAGCUAACGCAUUAAGCACUCCGCC